Molecule: long non-coding RNA, 1282 nt
Filed under: Homo sapiens (human)
Lineage: Eukaryota; Metazoa; Chordata; Mammalia; Primates; Hominidae
Description: long non-coding RNA NONHSAT169084.1
Source: RNAcentral
CCCAGGCCUCCCUGGAGCACGAGGAGGGCAAGAUCCUCCGGGCCCAGCUGGAGUUCAACCAGAUCAAGGCAGAGAUCGAGCGGAAGCUGGCAGAGAAGGACGAGGAGAUGGAACAGGCCAAGCGCAACCACCUGCGGGUGGUGGACUCGCUGCAGACCUCCCUGGACGCAGAGACACGCAGCCGCAACGAGGCCCUGAGGGUGAAGAAGAAGAUGGAAGGAGACCUCAAUGAGAUGGAGAUCCAGCUCAGCCACGCCAACCGCAUGGCCGCCGAGGCCCAGAAGCAAGUCAAGAGCCUCCAGAGCUUGUUGAAGGACACCCAGAUUCAGCUGGACGAUGCAGUCCGUGCCAACGACGACCUGAAGGAGAACAUCGCCAUCGUGGAGCGGCGCAACAACCUGCUGCAGGCUGAGCUGGAGGAGUUGCGUGCCGUGGUGGAGCAGACAGAGCGGUCCCGGAAGCUGGCGGAGCAGGAGCUGAUUGAGACUAGUGAGCGGGUGCAGCUGCUGCAUUCCCAGAACACCAGCCUCAUCAACCAGAAGAAGAAGAUGGAUGCUGACCUGUCCCAGCUCCAGACUGAAGUGGAGGAGGCAGUGCAGGAGUGCAGGAAUGCUGAGGAGAAGGCCAAGAAGGCCAUCACGGAUGCCGCCAUGAUGGCAGAGGAGCUGAAGAAGGAGCAGGACACCAGCGCCCACCUGGAGCGCAUGAAGAAGAACAUGGAACAGACCAUUAAGGACCUGCAGCACCGGCUGGACGAAGCCGAGCAGAUCGCCCUCAAGGGCGGCAAGAAGCAGCUGCAGAAGCUGGAAGCGCGGGUGCGGGAGCUGGAGAAUGAGCUGGAGGCCGAGCAGAAGCGCAACGCAGAGUCGGUGAAGGGCAUGAGGAAGAGCGAGCGGCGCAUCAAGGAGCUCACCUACCAGACGGAGGAGGACAGGAAAAACCUGCUGCGGCUGCAGGACCUGGUAGACAAGCUGCAGCUAAAGGUCAAGGCCUACAAGCGCCAGGCCGAGGAGGCGGAGGAGCAAGCCAACACCAACCUGUCCAAGUUCCGCAAGGUGCAGCACGAGCUGGAUGAGGCAGAGGAGCGGGCGGACAUCGCCGAGUCCCAGGUCAACAAGCUGCGGGCCAAGAGCCGUGACAUUGGCACGAAGGGCUUGAAUGAGGAGUAGCUUUGCCACAUCUUGAUCUGCUCAGCCCUGGAGGUGCCAGCAAAGCCCCAUGCUGGAGCCUGUGUAACAGCUCCUUGGGAGGAAGCAGAAUAAAGCAAUUUUCCUUGAAGCCG